UUACGGCCAUAUCACGUUGGAACACCGAUUCUCAUACGAUCACCGAAGUUAAGCAACGUCACUCUGGUCAGUAACUAGAUUGGUGACUGCUUGGGAAUACCAGGUGCUGUAA
Molecule: non-coding RNA, 112 nt
Organism: Acanthosepion pharaonis
Lineage: Eukaryota; Metazoa; Mollusca; Cephalopoda; Sepiida; Sepiidae
Source: the annotation of a GenBank genome assembly